AGAGUUUGAUCAUGGCUCAGGACGAACGCUGGCGGCGCUAACACAUGCAAGUCGAGCGAGAACCAAGCCUUCGGGCUUGGGGACAGCGGCGAACGGGUGAGUAACACGUGGGUAAUCAACCCUCGACACUGGGAUAGCCCGGGGAAACCCGGAUUAAUACCGGAUACUCCAUCUGGCUUUCGGGCCGGCUGGAAAAGGUAGCUUCGGCCUCCGGUUGGGGACGAGCCCGCGGCGGAUUAGCUUGUUGGUGGGGUAAAGGCCCACCAAGGCGACGAUCCGUAGCUGGUCUGAGAGGACGAUCAGCCACACUGGGACUGAGACACGGCCCAGACUCCUACGGGAGGCAGCAGUGGGGAAUCUUGCGCAAUGGGCGAAAGCCUGACGCAGCGACGCCGCGUGAGGGAAGAAGGCCUUCGGGUUGUAAACCUCUUUCAGGAGGGACGAAGCCACUCGGGUUAAUAGCCCAGAGGGUGACGGUACCUCCAGAAGAAGCCCCGGCUAACUACGUGCCAGCAGCCGCGGUAAUACGUAGGGGGCAAGCGUUGUCCGGAUUUAUUGGGCGUAAAGAGCGUGUAGGCGGCCACACAGGUCAGCUGUGAAAACUCGAGGCUCAACCUCGAGACGUCGGUUGAAACCGUAUGGCUAGAGUCCGGAAGAGGAGAGUGGAAUUCCCGGUGUAGCGGUGAAAUGCGCAGAUAUCGGGAAGAACACCUAUGGCGAAGGCAGCUCUCUGGGACGGUACUGACGCUGAGACGCGAAAGCGUGGGGAGCAAACAGGAUUAGAUACCCUAGUAGUCC
RNAcentral lists this ribosomal RNA (798 nucleotides) under uncultured bacterium. RNAcentral describes it as "bacterial SSU rRNA". It matches the Rfam family "Bacterial small subunit ribosomal RNA", at positions 8 to 796 of the family's 1533-position model. The record is from RNAcentral.